CUACGGGUGGCUGCAGUGGGGAAUAUUGGACAAUGGGCGAAAGCCUGAUCCAGCAAUGCCGCGUGAGUGAUGAAGGCCUUAGGGUUGUAAAGCUCCUUUACCCGGGAUGAUAAUGACAGUACCGGGAGAAUAAGCUCCGGCUAACUCCGUGCCAGCAGCCGCGGUAAUACGGAGGGAGCUAGCGUUGUUCGGAAUUACUGGGCGUAAAGCGCACGUAAGCGGCUUUGUAAGUCAGAGGUGAAAGCCUGGAGCUCAACUCCAGAACUGCCUUUGAGACUGCAUCGCUUGAAUCCAGGAGAGGUGAGUGGAAUUCCGAGUGUAGAGGUGAAAUUCGUAGAUAUUCGGAAGAACACCAGUGGCGAAGGCGGCUCACUGGACUGGUAUUGACGCUGAGGUGCGAAAGCGUGGGGAGCAAACAGGAUUAGAUACCCUAGUAGUC
RNAcentral lists this ribosomal RNA (439 nucleotides) under uncultured bacterium. Its description in RNAcentral is "partial 16S ribosomal RNA". It matches the Rfam family "Bacterial small subunit ribosomal RNA", at positions 339 to 795 of the family's 1533-position model. The record is from RNAcentral.